AAAAGUGUGGGUGGUUCUUGAAGUAUUUGGAAGAAAUCUGAUGUAUUCUUUAUUGACGAAGUCAACGAGAUAUAUACAUAAACACUAUUGCAUUAUUGUUUGUUGUAUACAUAUAUCCUGUAUAUACACUUAUAAGAGUAUCUUCAUUGCAUAACCCCUUGUGGAUGUUUUAAAGACUAACUAUGGUAAAAAUAAACUAACCAUGAUUAAAACUAAAGAUAUUUCCUUUUUUUGGUGUCUGAAAUGUCUCGGGAAAGUCAUUUUUGACAUUGAAAAAGGGGAAUGUCUUUAAUUUUAACUAUGGUUAGUAUUUAAGACGCAUAUAAGAAGUUAUGCAAUGAAGAUGCUCUAAAUGUCUAAUUAGAUAGACACCAUAAGAAUUUAUAUACUUUUACUUAUUCUUUUUGUCAACACCAUAAGAAAUUAUUUUAGAAUCAAAUUUAAUUUAGAACU
This 453-nucleotide small RNA is filed under the name Arabidopsis thaliana (thale cress). RNAcentral's name for it is "ATSL026240". The record is from RNAcentral. Lineage: Eukaryota; Viridiplantae; Streptophyta; Magnoliopsida; Brassicales; Brassicaceae.